GACGAACGCUGGCGGCAGGCCUAACACAUGCAAGUCGAGCGGACCUUUCGGGGUCAGCGGCGGACGGGUGAGUAACGCGUGGGAAUAUGCCCUUCUCUACGGAAUAGUCCUGGGAAACUGGGGGUAAUACCGUAUACGCCCUUUGGGGGAAAGAUUUAUCGGGGAAGGAUUAGCCCGCGUUGGAUUAGGUAGUUGGUGGGGUAAUGGCCUACCAAGCCGACGAUCCAUAGCUGGUUUGAGAGGAUGAUCAGCCACACUGGGACUGAGACACGGCCCAGACUCCUACGGGAGGCAGCAGUGGGGAAUCUUAGACAAUGGGGGCAACCCUGAUCUAGCCAUGCCGCGUGAGUGAUGAAGGCCUUAGGGUUGUAAAGCUCUUUCAGCUGGGAAGAUAAUGACGGUACCAGCAGAAGAAGCCCCGGCUAACUCCGU
RNAcentral lists this ribosomal RNA (432 nucleotides) under uncultured bacterium. RNAcentral's name for it is "partial 16S ribosomal RNA". It matches the Rfam family "Bacterial small subunit ribosomal RNA", at positions 28 to 506 of the family's 1533-position model. The record is from RNAcentral.